GGAAAGAGGCAAUCAAUGAUGAAAUGGAUUCAUUAUUAUUUAAUAAUACAUGGGUUCUAGUUGAUUUGCCACCUGGUUCUAAACCAAUAGGAUGUAAAUGGGUUUUCAGAAGAAAAUAUAACACAGAUGGAUCGAUUCAAACUUUUAAAGCUAGAUUGGUUGCAAAGGGUUUUAAACAAAAAGAGGGAAUUGACUACUUUGAUACAUAUGCACCAGUGGCUAGAAUAACAUCUAUUAGAGUACUUUUAUCUUUAGCAUCAAUAUAUAAUUUAUAUGUACAUCAAAUGGAUGUUAAGACAGCCUUUCUAAAUGGUGACUUAGAAGAAGAAGUAUA
Molecule: unclassified non-coding RNA, 334 nt
Filed under: Hevea brasiliensis (rubber tree)
Lineage: Eukaryota; Viridiplantae; Streptophyta; Magnoliopsida; Malpighiales; Euphorbiaceae
Source: RNAcentral